RNAcentral lists this ribosomal RNA (329 nucleotides) under Capnocytophaga sp. W336. RNAcentral's name for it is "bacterial SSU rRNA". It matches the Rfam family "Bacterial small subunit ribosomal RNA", at positions 106 to 434 of the family's 1533-position model. Lineage: Bacteria; Pseudomonadati; Bacteroidota; Flavobacteriia; Flavobacteriales; Flavobacteriaceae. The record is from RNAcentral.
GUGCGUAACGCGUAUGCAACCUACCUUUCACAGGGGGAUAGCCSGAAGAAAUUUGGAUUAAUACCCCAUAAUAUUAUUGGAUGGCAUCAUUUYAYAAUUAAAACURMGGUGGUGAAAGAUGGGCAUGCGUCCUAUUAGCUAGUUGGAGUGGUAACGGCACCCCAAGGCUACGAUAGGUAGGGGUCCUGAGAGGGAGAUCCCCCACACUGGUACUGAGACAGGGACCAGACUCCUACGGGAGGCAGCAGUGAGGAAUAUUGGUCAAUGGUCGGAAGACUGAACCAGCCAUGCCGCGUGCAGGAAGAAUGCCUUAUGGGUUGUAAACUGCU